UCACAGGCUGAGCCACCCAGGGGCCCCUCCAGCAAGCAUGAGGCGAAGUGCUCGCUUCUGAAUUUAUUCCCGCUGUCCAGGAAGAGGCCUUCACUGAACUUGAUCUGCCCCAGGGAGGGGGAGGGUUGCUAACCUCUGAAGAUUUUUCUCUGCCUUCUCUGUGGAAAUCUGCCCCAGGCAACAACCCUGCUGCUGCUUCCAAGGCAAAUGGGAGGAGAAACCUUGCCAAGUUUGGAGGGACCGCCUCAGAAAGGCAGGUUGGGGCGCCCUGGGCCCCUGAGAGCACCUGAGGAUGUGGGUUCUGCCGACAGGUGGACUUCUAAGUCCCAGAAAGGUGAGAGGUGGGCUGCUCCCACACAAAGCAGGGGGGGCUGAAAGCCGGGGGGAGGGCACCGAGUGUCCCUGCCCUCAGCAUCACGGUCCUGCGUCGCGUGCAGGGCUCUGACAUCUUCUCUUUGUGAGGCAGAAACUCCCUGGGAAGCCAGCUUUCUCGCUGAAUGCGGAUAGUUCCAGAGAACCUGACUCCAUGUGGCCUGUCCUCCUUCCCUAGCCCCAAGCAGGUGGCCCAAGCCUGGUCUUUCCAUGAGGCAGAAGUGCUAAAGGGCAGGGGAAAACCUGGGAAGAUUCCAGAAGAAGAGAAAGUUCUGGAAAGUGAGCCCCAUUGAGUCCUGGUCCCAGGGCGAUGGGUCCUGAGCCCUAACCCCUGAAUUACAGAAUCAGCCCUCCACCACAUUUUCCUCUGGGGGCUGUGCCCCAGGAGGGGAGCCAAGGUCUCAGUUCCCCAAAUGCACCCCCGCCCACCAGCCCUCAAAGCUCCUGCAUCACCCAGCCAUCCAGGGAACCUUCCAUGGGCUGCGCUCCACAGACUGUUCUCACCAGAAUCCCUGUGGUCUCAUCUGGAAUCUCCUAUGGCCUGACCUGCCUUCCCCACCCCACCCCCCAUCACCAGUGAGACUUGGGCCAAGCGUGACCUUGAGCGCCUUUCCCCAGCCAUUUUCCUGCAAGAGAGGAUUCCCUCUUCCCCUUCCACUAGGGCCCAAGGUCCCGCAUGCCAGGGGCGGGGAGUCAGCUCUGAGCACUUCCGGACCCUGGACUCUGGAAUUCGCAUGGAGUUCAUUUGUGUGGUAGCUCAAGGUUGCUCACGUCCAUGUUAACAGGGUUCCACUUCCUAAUUUUGAAGGGCACCAUACUCUACAGUGCAGCAUUUACAGUGUGCUACCGGUCAAAGCUUCUAGCCCUCUUAUUCUUUUUUUUUUUUUAUGCUUUAUUUUAUAUUUGAAAGAGAGAGAGUGCCCGCGCAAG
Long non-coding RNA from Hyaena hyaena (striped hyena), 1302 nucleotides. RefSeq lists it as uncharacterized. The record is from RefSeq and is a predicted model, not a curated record. The transcript has 3 exons. Lineage: Eukaryota; Metazoa; Chordata; Mammalia; Carnivora; Hyaenidae.